UGCAGUCGAGGGGCAGCGCGGGCUUCGGCCCGGCGGCGACCGGCGAACGGGUGCGUAACACGUAUGCAACCUUCCUGUUACUGAGGGAUAGCUCAAGGAAACUUGAAUUAAUACCUCAUAAUACACCGCUCUCGCAUGGAAGUGGUGUUAAAGCUCCGGCGGUAACAGAUGGGCAUGCGCCCCAUUAGUUUGUUGGUGAGGUAACGGCUCACCAAGGCUACGAUGGGUAGGGGGUUUGAGAGGAUGAUCCCCCACACUGGUACUGAGAUACGGACCACACUCCUACGGGAGGCAGCAGUAAGGAAUAUUGGGCAAUGGGCGCAAGCCUGACCCAUCUAUGCCGCGUGCAGGAUGAAGGCCUUUUGGGUUGUAAACUGCUUUUAUAAGGGAAAAAAAAAUCGCUGCGGCGAGAACUGACAUCACCUUAUGAAUAAGCACCGGCUAACUCCGUGCCAGCAGCCGCGGUAAUACGGAGGGUGCAAGUGUUGUCCGGAUUUAUUGGGUUUAAAGGGUGCGUAGGUGGUAAGAUAAGUCAGCGGUGAAAGCCUAUAGCUUAACUAUAGAAUUGCCGUUGAUACUGUCGUACUUGAGUAUGGUUAAGGUAAGUGGAAUUUAUGGUGUAGCGGUGAAAUGCUUAGAUACCAUAAAGAACACCAAUAGCGUAGGCAGCUUACUGAGCCAUAACUGACACUGAGGCACGAAAGCGUGGGGAGCGAACAGGAUUAGAUACCCUGGUAGUCCACGCCGUAAACGAUGAUCACUCGCUAUUGGCGAUAUACAGUCAGUGGCUAAGCGAAAGCGUUAAGUGAUCCACCUGGGAAGUACGCUCGCAAGAGUGAAACUCAAAGGAAUUGAC
RNAcentral lists this ribosomal RNA (856 nucleotides) under uncultured bacterium. RNAcentral describes it as "bacterial SSU rRNA". It matches the Rfam family "Bacterial small subunit ribosomal RNA", at positions 56 to 914 of the family's 1533-position model. The record is from RNAcentral.